This 584-nucleotide ribosomal RNA is filed under the name uncultured bacterium. RNAcentral describes it as "bacterial SSU rRNA". It matches the Rfam family "Bacterial small subunit ribosomal RNA", at positions 335 to 910 of the family's 1533-position model. The record is from RNAcentral.
AUUCCUACGGGAGGCAGCAGUCGAGAAUCAUUCACAAUGGGCGAAAGCCUGAUGGUGCGACGCCGCGUGGAGGAUGACAGCCCUAGGGUUGUAAACUCCUGUCAUGAGAGAGAAAAGACUUAACGUAAAUACCGUUGGGUCCUGAUAGUAUCUCAAGAGGAAGGGACGGCUAACUUCGUGCCAGCAGCCGCGGUAAUACGAAGGUCCCAAGCGUUGUUCGGAAUUACUGGGCGUAAAGCGUGCGUAGGCGGCAUGGUAAGUCAGAUGUGAAAUCCCAGGGCUCAACCCUGGAACUGCAUCCGAUACUGCCAAGCUAGAGUAGUGGAGGGGAGUCUGGAAUUCACGGUGUAGCAGUGAAAUGCGUAGAUAUCGUGAGGAACACUAGUGGCGAAGGCGAGACUCUGGACACUAACUGACGCUGAGGCACGAAGGCUAGGGUAGCGAAAGGGAUUAAAUACCCCUGUGGUCCUAGCAGUAAACGGUGCGCGUUUGGUGUGGGCGGGUUCGACCCCGUCCGUGCCGAAGCUAACGCGUUAAACGCGCCGCCUGGGGAGUACGGUCGCAAGACUAAAACUUAAAGGAAU